GUCGAUCGUCGGCGCGAACUGUGAUAAAAUGUUCAACCAAAUUCGUCCAAAUAUUAUUAUUGCGUAUCUGCCAAUUAUCUUCUAAUCCGAAAAUCACUUCAACCUCAUUUACAUCGUCCCCAAGGUAAAAUUCAAAUGAAUAAAACCAACCUAAAUGAACAUGAAUAGUGUUCAUUCAGGUUGUCGAUAUAACCAAUGGUGUUAAUCCACCUACCCAACACCUGGUCUUUCAUCUUUAACCCGCGUGUCUUUGUGUGGAUGUGUUUAAUUGGAUGAUGAGGCGGUGCCUAGCGUCCUCAUCAGAUUUAGACGCCAAACCACAAGCAAAUCACCAAAUGUCCAUCCAGAGAGAGAAAGUGAUAGAGAGAGACGGAGGUUGUCGCAGCCCUUGUCUUCACUCCGCCGUCUCUGGCGGACGGUGGUGGUACUAAACCCGUCACCUUCACCAUGGUGCCCGUCAGUUGGUGGCGGAUGGUGGCGCCACCGCCUCUAUCGGACGGUGGCGCUCUUGAAUCCGCCGCCUUCGCCAUGCUGCCAGGCGAUCGUUGGUGACGGAUUCACAUGAGGGUUCCGGUGGUGUAUCGGCGGUGCUUUUGAUUUACUCCGGCAAUAGGAACGAUGGCCCUCAUCUUUGUUUCACUCAUCAUAUAGCGGCCAAGAAGAUUUAAAGGUUCUUGAGAGAUAAUCUAGACAGAGGAAGGGAGAGAGGUGGUAGGCACGGUGGACGACCGACGGAGGGCAGCGGCUUACAACGCAGAAGACGGUCUUCAUCGUUUUCCUCCGUCACUUGAAACCAGAUCCGCCGGCUGUGGCUUCUAGAAGACGUACUGCCGACAGCAUCGGCGAACUGAGAUAGCGAUCCUUUGUCUUUGAGAUCAAAACGAUAUGAGAAAGAGGGAAAGAGGGCAGGGGCGGAGACAAGGCGGCGAUUAGGGUUCCUGCGCAAGCUAUUACUUCCAUCAAUCGAUUAUCCGAUCUAUGGUUGCAUGUCCCUUCAAUGGAUAGAUUGACUACUUGCACAGUCGUCGGAAUGAUCUUCUCUCUCCUCCAGUGGUUCCUCCUCUCCAAAGUCUCCCUCUCACUUGAUAAACCAGAGUUUAUGGAGUCGUUGAUCGAGGAAGAAGAAGGUGUUCAUGAUCAUACCGUUAUUCAGAACACUGUCUCUAAAGGAUCAAGUUCUACAAGAUAUGAGUGAUCAAGAUCUUUAUCAAGCACUUGGUGAUUUAUAAUGAAACUCAUUUGAAAACUUUGUUCUAUCACCUGUAGUGUUGUUGAUUGAUGAAAGGCGAUUGAUUAUGUCAGGUUUAAUAAAAAAAAUUAUAAUUGCGGCUUAGUGAUAUUCGGCUGCUAAUUGUAUAGGUUAUGUGUUAAGUAGUAAGUCCUAGGGUGGGGCUUAAUGAAAUCAGUGUAACCCGGGUUGCGACCGAGCACUAGAGAGAAAUGAUUUUGCUGCACAUGAUAAAUUUGGAUGGAAUAAUUAUGAUCUGGUUUGUUGAUUCUGUUUUAUAUAGGUUUUAAUAUAUAAUUAAUAUAAUAAAAUGAUAAAUUUGGAUGGAAUAAUUAAGAAUGUCAUCAAACCUUAAUUAUAUAAAAGUUAACUGACUUAAAUGAUUAUUGUUGUUUAACCAAUUAUGUUGUCUUAUAUUGGAAGCCUAUUUGGACAAUCCAUAAAAAAAGAAACAAGAGUAGUAUGACUACGUGGACUACUUCAUUCAAGUGGAUUGCACCAAAAUAUUGUGGCAGGAAGAAAGGCGCUCGAACUCGUCAUCUUAGGAGGUGAGUGCAGUGCUUCAUCCAAGAAGACCCAGUGUAUCCUGGGUUUUACACUUUUCUAAUACAAAUCUAUAGCAUUGUGUUACCUUUGGGUUAUGUAUGUGUGUUUUACUUCUUUGCCACAACACAGAGUACAAGCCUACAAGCACCUACUUCCGAUGACGACGUUCUUUUGUAUAAUUGCUUUUUAGACAUAUAUUUGAUCAUAGUUUUCAUCUGAGAGCUGGGUAAAGGUUAAAAUUUUGUUGGGGCCAAUAUGAGUCGGUUGCUGCUAGGCGACUUCAAGAAACAAGAGUUCGAGUUCCGACUAACGCACACGACGAAUUAAAAACUUCAAAAAGGAACUUUUUUGAUGGUUGCAGAUGAUGAAGCCUAUGAAGCUGAAACCUGAAACAACCCAUCACCGUGCAGAACGUUUAAUAGAAGCAUACCUUUUGUACAACUUAUCUACAUAACACACUAGGUGUUAGUACAUUAGGUGUUGGUAUAUGCUAAUUUGUGAUCAACUUUCUACCAUUAAUAUUUGUAUUUCCUUGAUAGCAGGCUUGGUGAUGUGCCUAUGGAAUGUAGGUGUAACAAACACUUAGGUUUUAUCAA
Helianthus annuus (common sunflower) is the source of this 2370-nucleotide long non-coding RNA. RefSeq lists it as uncharacterized. Lineage: Eukaryota; Viridiplantae; Streptophyta; Magnoliopsida; Asterales; Asteraceae. The record is from RefSeq and is a predicted model, not a curated record. The transcript is spliced from 5 exons.